This 318-nucleotide ribosomal RNA is filed under the name Triticum aestivum (bread wheat). RNAcentral describes it as "partial small subunit ribosomal RNA". Lineage: Eukaryota; Viridiplantae; Streptophyta; Magnoliopsida; Poales; Poaceae. The record is from RNAcentral.
AUGGUGGUUCACACUUUUUUCAUGGUGCUAUCCAAAAAAAUUCUUGCCAAGUAUGAUGUUAACCAUAGAAUUGCAUCACCCUAUCAUCCUCAGUCUAGUGGUCAAGUUGAACUUAGCAAUAGAGAAAUAAAAUUAACUUUGCAAAAGACUUUCAAUAGGUCCAGGAAGAAUUGGUCUAAGAAAUUAGAUGAUGCACUUUGGGCUUAUAGAACAACAUAUAAAAAUCCUAUGGGUAUGUCUCCUUAUAAAAUGGUUUAUGGAAAAUCUUGUUAUUUUCCUCUUGAGUUAGAACAUAAAGCAUUCUGGGCAGUUAAAGAA